This 29-nucleotide non-coding RNA is filed under the name Cricetulus griseus (Chinese hamster). Lineage: Eukaryota; Metazoa; Chordata; Mammalia; Rodentia; Cricetidae. The record is from RNAcentral.
AAAUAAGGACAUUAAAUUCAAGCAUUUGG